This 533-nucleotide ribosomal RNA is filed under the name Fusarium culmorum. RNAcentral's name for it is "eukaryotic LSU rRNA". The stretch from base 181 to 334 matches the Rfam family "5.8S ribosomal RNA". Lineage: Eukaryota; Fungi; Ascomycota; Sordariomycetes; Hypocreales; Nectriaceae. The record is from RNAcentral.
UCUCCGUUGGUGAACCAGCGGAGGGAUCAUUACCGAGUUUACAACUCCCAAACCCCUGUGAACAUACCUUAUGUUGCCUCGGCGGAUCAGCCCGCGCCCCGUAAAAAGGGACGGCCCGCCGCAGGAACCUUAAACUCUGUUUUUAGUGGAACUUCUGAGUAUAAAAAACAAAUAAAUCAAAACUUUCAACAACGGAUCUCUUGGUUCUGGCAUCGAUGAAGAACGCAGCAAAAUGCGAUAAGUAAUGUGAAUUGCAGAAUUCAGUGAAUCAUCGAAUCUUUGAACGCACAUUGCGCCCGCCAGUAUUCUGGCGGGCAUGCCUGUUCGAGCGUCAUUUCAACCCUCAAGCCCAGCUUGGUGUUGGGAGCUGCAGUCCUGCUGCACUCCCCAAAUACAUUGGCGGUCACGUCGAGCUUCCAUAGCGUAGUAAUUUACAUAUCGUUACUGGUAAUCGUCGCGGCCACGCCGUUAAACCCCAACUUCUGAAUGUUGACCUCGGAUCAGGUAGGAAUACCCGCUGAACUUAAGCAUAU